GACGAACGCUGGCGGCGUGCCUAACACAUGCAAGUCGAGCGGAGGAUUUGGCCUUCGGGUUGAAUCUUUAGCAGCGAACGGGUGAGUAACGCGUGGGGAAUCUGCCUUUGAGCGGGGGACAACAUUUGGAAACGAAUGCUAAUACCGCAUAAAAACUUUAAACACAAGUUUUAAGUUUGAAAGAUGCAAUUGCAUCACUCAAAGAUGAUCCCGCGUUGUAUUAGCUAGUUGGUGAGGUAAAGGCUCACCAAGGCGAUGAUACAUAGCCGACCUGAGAGGGUGAUCGGCCACAUUGGGACUGAGACACGGCCCAAACUCCUACGGGAGGCAGCAGUAGGGAAUCUUCGGCAAUGGACGAAAGUCUGACCGAGCAACGCCGCGUGAGUGAAGAAGGUUUUCGGAUCGUAAAACUCUGUUGGUAGAGAAGAACGUUGGUGAGAGUGGAAAGCUCAUCAAGUGACGGUAACUACCCAGAAAGGGACGGCUAACUACGUGCCAGCCGCCGCCGUAA
RNAcentral lists this ribosomal RNA (511 nucleotides) under uncultured bacterium. RNAcentral's name for it is "partial 16S ribosomal RNA". It matches the Rfam family "Bacterial small subunit ribosomal RNA", at positions 28 to 523 of the family's 1533-position model. The record is from RNAcentral.